UACGGAGGGGGCUAGCGUUGUUCGGAAUUACUGGGCGUAAAGCGCACGUAGGCGGCUUUGUAAGUUAGAGGUGUAAGCCCAGGGCUUAACCCUGGAAUUGCCUUUAAGACUGCAUCGCUAGAAUCGUGGAGAGGUGAGUGGAAUUCCGAGUGUAGAGGUGAAAUUCGUAGAUAUUCGGAAGAACACCAGUGGCGAAGGCGACUCACUGGACACGUAUUGACGCUGAGGUGCGAAAGCGUGGGGAGCAAACAGG
RNAcentral lists this ribosomal RNA (253 nucleotides) under uncultured bacterium. RNAcentral describes it as "partial 16S ribosomal RNA". It matches the Rfam family "Bacterial small subunit ribosomal RNA", at positions 524 to 776 of the family's 1533-position model. The record is from RNAcentral.